UGGGAGCUGGUGCAACGGCAGCAUGGCGGUCUCCAAAACCGCAGAUCGGGGUUCGAAUCCCCGGCGCCCCGCAA
RNAcentral lists this transfer RNA (74 nucleotides) under Arthrobacter woluwensis. Its description in RNAcentral is "tRNA-Trp". It matches the Rfam family "tRNA". Rfam says of the family: Transfer RNA (tRNA) molecules are approximately 80 nucleotides in length. Lineage: Bacteria; Bacillati; Actinomycetota; Actinomycetes; Micrococcales; Micrococcaceae. The record is from RNAcentral.